ACKGCUCAGUAACACGUGGCUAACCUACCCUCAAGACAGGAACACCCCCGGGAAACUGGGGCUAAUCCCCGAUAGAUGAGAAAACCUGGAAUGGGUUUUCGCCCAAAAGUCACCGCAGUUAGGCUCUGCUACGUCUAUCGAUGAUGGGGCCGCGUCCGAUCAGGCUGUUGGUGAGGUGAUGGCUCACCAAACCUAUAACCGGUACGGGCCGUGGGAGCGGGAGCCCGGAGAUGGGAGCUGAAACGGGGCCCCACGUCCUACGGGGCGCAGGAGUUACGACUACUUGACGAUGUGCGAAAGUGUGAACGGGCUACCCCGACCGCCUGCCGAUGGGGAUGGUUUUUCGCUGUUGUAAAACGGGGGAAGAAUAAGGGGAGGGCAAUGCUGGUGUCCGCCGCCGCGGCACUACCCCCUCGACGAGUGGUAAGGAUGAUUAUUGCUAUUAAAGCGGCCGUCGCCGGACUUUCAAGCCUCUUGUUACAUCCAACUAUUCAAUCGCUGUACUGCAAGAAAUACUGUUAUGCUAAGGGGCAGAAGAAGCCGACAUUAUUUUCGGAGGAGGGAUAUCAUCCUAUAAUCCCAGGAACACCACCGGUGAAGGAUGCUUUCUACUACCACGCUGUCGACGGUGAAGGACGACUGCUGUAGGAGCGAACCGGAUUAGAUACCCGAGUAGUCUCUGCUGUAAACGAUGCUGGCUAGGUGUUGAAGCUACUACCAGCUCUUUCGCCGCCGCAAGGAAGCCAUUACUGCAGCCUGCUGAGGAGUACCGCCGCAAUGAUACUACUUGGAAGGARUUGGCGGRGGAGCAC
RNAcentral lists this ribosomal RNA (812 nucleotides) under uncultured Sulfolobales archaeon. Its description in RNAcentral is "bacterial SSU rRNA". It matches the Rfam family "Archaeal small subunit ribosomal RNA", at positions 85 to 879 of the family's 1478-position model. The record is from RNAcentral. Lineage: Archaea; Thermoproteati; Thermoproteota; Thermoprotei; Sulfolobales.